CGCAGGCAGAGAGCGAAAACUGGCAAGGGUGCUGGUCCACGCAGGCCUGGCCCUACCUAGAGACGUGCCAGCAACCAACCGGAGACUCACUCACGAUGCUUUCAGCCACCGCCGCAGCCGAUGCAGCAGCCUAAGCCGAAGCCUCUGCCCUUGGCACCCACUUCCGCUUCCGCUCAAGGGCCCCGCCUGGUAGGUGGGCGGGGCGAGGCAUGCUGCCACGAGGCGCAGGAAGACGGAUGUGCGCAGGCGCGUUGGUCCGGCUGCGCAGGCAGGGUUGCCAUUCUAGCAUGGGAAGUAAGAGAAACUCCGGGAAGAGGAGCAAGGCAAAAACAAUGAAAGGUCUCGGCAUAUUCAAUCAGUAAAAAAUAGAGGGGCCACUUUAAGAUUUGCACAGGAAAGCGCUGGAGAGCAGCUGGCUGCAGAAAUCUGAUCUAGAGACAAAGGAAUGCCCGGUCCAUCCUCUAGCAAAACAGGUAAACACACGCGCUUUGUCAUGAAAAUGAGGCGCUAGGACAGCGCUGCAGCAGCUGACUCCCGAUUUCGAGGGGGGAGUGGGGAGGAGCCGGGCAGCAGCAGAAGAGGGAGGGGGCGGGGGUGGGCUGGGGGGAGGCUCGGGCAGGGGCUUAUCCAUCAUCUGCGAUCCGGGUCGGCCCGCCGAGCCCGCCGAGCCACGCGCCUCGCCCUUUCUCAUUCAAAUCAGCACAUGCCUUUGCAACUGGCAGCCAACCUGCGGCCUCCAGGCCUGCAGGUCCCCACGCGCGAGCAGAGGUGCGGGGCGUGCCCCCAGAGGCGGCGCACUCUUACUCAGCGCUCCCCCCGCCCACAGCAGCCACACAGAAUAAAACUCCGUGGGGUUGGGACACGCUUGGGUUUUCUUCCCCCGGCCGCCUGGCCCCUUAAAAAGGUUAAGGAUAA
Molecule: long non-coding RNA, 915 nt
Filed under: Dasypus novemcinctus (nine-banded armadillo)
Lineage: Eukaryota; Metazoa; Chordata; Mammalia; Cingulata; Dasypodidae
Description: lncRNA (ENSDNOG00000050767.1)
Source: RNAcentral